UUGAACGCUGGCGGCAUGCUUUACACAUGCAAGUCGAGCGGCAGCACGGGGGCAACCCUGGUGGCGAGCGGCGAACGGGUGAGUAAUACAUCGGAACAUGCCCAGUCGUGGGGGAUAACACUUCGAAAGAAGUGCUAAUACCGCAUACGUCCUGAGGGAGAAAGCGGGGGAUCGCAAGACCUCGCGCGAUUGGAGUGGCCGAUGUCAGAUUAGCUAGUUGGUGGGGUAAAGGCCUACCAAGGCAACGAUCUGUAGCGGGGCUGAGAGGAUGAUCAGCCACACUGGGACUGAGACACGGCCCAGACUCCUACGGGAGGCAGCAGUGGGGAAUUUUGGACAAUGGGGGCAACCCUGAUCCAGCCAUUCCGCGUGAGUGAAGAAGGCCUUCGGGUUGUAAAGCUCUUUCAGCAGGAACGAAACGGCGAGUACUAAUACUGCUCGCUAAUGACGGUACCUGAAGAAGAAGCACCGGCUAACUACGU
This 482-nucleotide ribosomal RNA is filed under the name uncultured bacterium. RNAcentral's name for it is "bacterial SSU rRNA". It matches the Rfam family "Bacterial small subunit ribosomal RNA", at positions 29 to 506 of the family's 1533-position model. The record is from RNAcentral.